This 74-nucleotide transfer RNA is filed under the name Callithrix jacchus (white-tufted-ear marmoset). It matches the Rfam family "tRNA". From Rfam's summary of the family: Transfer RNA (tRNA) molecules are approximately 80 nucleotides in length. Their secondary structure includes four short double-helical elements and three loops (D, anti-codon, and T loops). The record is from Rfam by way of RNAcentral. Lineage: Eukaryota; Metazoa; Chordata; Mammalia; Primates; Cebidae.
GACCUGUUAGCUCAGUUGGUUAGAGUGUGGUGCUAAUAACGCUAAGGUCGCGGGUUCGAUCCCCGUACGGGCUA